RNAcentral lists this ribosomal RNA (468 nucleotides) under uncultured bacterium. RNAcentral's name for it is "partial 16S ribosomal RNA". It matches the Rfam family "Bacterial small subunit ribosomal RNA", at positions 28 to 507 of the family's 1533-position model. The record is from RNAcentral.
GACGAACGCUGGCGGCGUGCCUAACACAUGCAAGUCGAACGGAAAGGCCCUGCUUUUGUGGGGUGCUCGAGUGGCGAACGGGUGAGUAACACGUGAGUAACCUGCCCUUGACUUUGGGAUAACUUCAGGAAACUGGGGCUAAUACCGGAUAGGAGCUCCUGCUGCAUGGUGGGGGUUGGAAAGUUUCGGCGGUUUGGGAUGGACUCGCGGGUUAUCAGCUUGUUGGGGGGGUAGUGGCUUACCAAGGCUUUGACGGGUAGCCGGCCUGAGAGGGUGACCGGCCACAAUGGGACUGAGAUACGGCCCAGACUCCUACGGGAGGCAGCAGUGGGGAAUAUUGCGCAAUGGGCGGAAGCCUGAUGCAGCAACGCCGCGUGCGGGAUGACGGCCUUCGGGUUGUAAACCGCUUUCGCCUGUGACGAAGCGUGAGUGACGGUAAUGGGUAAAAAAGCACCGGCUAACUACGUG